AUUGAACGCUGGCGGAAUGCUUUACACAUGCAAGUCGAACGGCAGCACGGGGGCAACCCUGGUGGCGAGUGGCGAACGGGUGAGUAAUACAUCGGAACGUGCCCGGUCGUGGGGGAUAACGUAGCGAAAGCUACGCUAAUACCGCAUACGAUCUGAGGAUGAAAGCGGGGGACCUUCGGGCCUCGCGCGAUCGGAGCGGCCGAUGUCAGAUUAGGUAGUUGGUGGGGUAAAGGCCUACCAAGCCGACGAUCUGUAGCUGGUCUGAGAGGACGACCAGCCACACUGGGACUGAGACACGGCCCCGACUCCUACGGGAGGCAGCAGUGGGGAAUUUUGGACAAUGGGCGCAAGCCUGAUCCAGCCAUUCCGCGUGCAGGACGAAGGCCUUCGGGUUGUAAACUGCUUUUGUAUGGAACGAAAAGGCUCUGGCUAAUACCUGGGGCUCAUGACGGUACCGUAAGAAUAAGCACCGGCUAACUACGUG
RNAcentral lists this ribosomal RNA (484 nucleotides) under uncultured bacterium. RNAcentral describes it as "partial 16S ribosomal RNA". It matches the Rfam family "Bacterial small subunit ribosomal RNA", at positions 30 to 507 of the family's 1533-position model. The record is from RNAcentral.